This is a long non-coding RNA of Helianthus annuus (common sunflower), 1586 nucleotides long. RefSeq lists it as uncharacterized. The record is from RefSeq and is a predicted model, not a curated record. The transcript is spliced from 2 exons. NCBI's taxonomy places the organism in Eukaryota, Viridiplantae, Streptophyta, Magnoliopsida, Asterales, Asteraceae.
UUUUUUUUUUUUUUUUUUUUUUUUUUUUUUUUUUUUGGCAUAACCAUCAUUCCAUCAUCGUCUCCAUCCCUUACUCUACCUCAUACGACGUCAUAUACAGCGUCCCCUACACCUCCAUCUCCAAUCGCCACUGUCAACUCCAUCACCUCCAUGCUAAUGCGUCGUGAAUGAAUCAAAGAUUAUGACACUUAAAAAGCCAUCGAAGGCGCGUUUAAACCUAAUCAAACAUGUCUAAUCGCCGGAAAAAAUGGUCCCUAAUGGGACGUUAGUCCUUGAGACGACGGCGGCGCUGCGUGUUGCCGGACUUAGGCUUAAUGACAUGGUGGCAUUGAUUGAUCAAAAGCAGGGUGGAGAUAUUUGUGUUUAGCAGCUACUGAAUAAAUGGAAUUAGGUAUUUGUGGUGAAGUAAAGGAUUUUGUAAAACAUGCCCCUCUAGUUUAGUGGUUGAUUCGAUAUGAAGCUUAAACUUUUUAUCUCACAUACCAGUGUGCCAUGUCAUCUUGCCACGUAGGAUAAAAAGCUAACUUAGUUAGUGGGCUGGUUAACUCCGGAGUGACACAACAUACAAAGUGUUAAGUUGGGAGUGGUAGAAAUCAAAGUGAUAGUUGUGAGUUGCAGCGGCCAAUACCCAACAGUUAGGAGUGAUAAAAUCUAAUAACUCUUUGUUAAACUGCUUUUACUUCUUUUUUUUUCCAAAAUAUCUACAAGAUAUAAAAAAUAAUAGUAUAAAGAGAAUUAGGUGAAACUACAUUUUGCAAGAAUUAGGUGAAACUACAUUUUGCAAGGUUGACCAUGUUAAUCUUUGUUAACCUUGAUUAAUUCUUGAGUAGAGUGCAAUUUGCUAUCUUGUGGUUUGGUCAAGAUUUUCUGUUGAAACCCUAUCUUUCACUUUUUGCCAGAUGAAAUACCUUAAGGUGGGUAAUCCAUCACACCCUGCCACAGACCAUUAGUCAACCGUUAGGUUGACUGUUACUUUUAGGGGUAUGGAAGUCAUUUCAUCGAUGAAUCUUAUGGACCACACCUUAGGAGCACCCUUAUCUUCUCCCCUUCACAUUCUAACACCCUUAGAUUACUCACACACUCAUCUUCAUCCUCUCAUCGCAUUCACACACACCACCGUCGGAUCAAUGUAAUUCAAUGUGCAAAUGGAGACUGAAUCGAUCAUAGCCGGAUUGCAGGUGUUGGAGACCUAGAAUCACCACACGGCGGUACGGGUCACGGUUGUUUUGAGGUGGUUGAACGAUUUCGCGUUCAACCUUUGUGUCGUCUUCCCACCGCCACCACCAGAUCACCGCUAUCACCACCGCCGUCACCAUCACCGUUUCCACCAUCGUCACCACAACAAUGCCAUCACCACCACCAUCCCCGGUCUACCCUCACCACCACCAUCACAGAACCACCUUCACCAAGACUAGAGUUGUUCUUUUCUUUUGAUUAUGGUUUAAGUAUUAGGUACUAAGUUUUGAUAUGUAUAAUUUUUGCAACAUUAGGUUUGGUACUAUGUGGUUUGAUUAACUUUUCAUAUGUAUAAUUAUGCAAGUAACUAUGUUUCAUUAUAUCUAUAUAUAAUUAAUUUUUGAUAUGCA